Molecule: ribosomal RNA, 496 nt
Filed under: uncultured Glomeromycotina
Lineage: Eukaryota; Fungi; Glomeromycota
Description: partial small subunit ribosomal RNA
Rfam family: Eukaryotic small subunit ribosomal RNA
Source: RNAcentral
CCAAUAGCGUAUCUUAAAGUUGUUGCAGUUAAAAAGCUCGUAGUUGAAUUUUGGGUUUGGCCGAUUGGUCCGUUCUUGUAACGAGUACUGGUCGGUUGGGCCUCACCGCCUGGUGAUGCGUAAUGUCCUUUAUUGGGUGUUGCGAGUAGCCAGGACUUUUACCUUGAAAAAAUUAGAGUGUUUAAAGCAGGCUUAUGCCGGAAUACAUUAGCAUGGAAUAAUAGAAUAGGACGAUGAUUCUAUUUUGUUGGUUUCUAGGACCAUCGUAAUGAUUAAUAGGGAUAGUUGGGGGCAUUAGUAUUCAAUUGUCAGAGGUGAAAUUCUUGGAUUUAUUGAAGACUAACUACUGCGAAAGCAUUUGCCAAGGAUGUUUUCAUUAAUCAAGAACGAAAGUUAGGGGAUCGAAGACGAUCAGAUACCGUCGUAGUCUUAACCAUAAACUAUGCCGACUAGGGAUCGGGCGAUGUUGUUUCAAUGACUCGCUCGGCACCUUAUG